Molecule: ribosomal RNA, 445 nt
Filed under: uncultured bacterium
Lineage: Bacteria
Description: partial 16S ribosomal RNA
Rfam family: Bacterial small subunit ribosomal RNA
Source: RNAcentral
GUGAGGAAUAUUGCGCAAUGGAGGCAACUCUGACGCAGCCAUGCCGCGUGCAGGAAGAAGGCGCUACGCGUUGUAAACUGCUUUUAACCGGGAAGAAACCCCAGGACGUGUCCUGGGUUGACGGUACCGGAGGAAUAAGCACCGGCUAACUUCGUGCCAGCAGCCGCGGUAAUACGAAGGGUGCAAGCGUUAUCCGGAUUCAUUGGGUUUAAAGGGUGCGUAGGCGGAGCGUUAAGUCAGUGGUGAAAUCCUGCAGCUUAACUGUAGACUUGCCAUUGAUACUGGCGCUCUUGAGUGCGCUUGAAGUGGGCGGAAUGUGCCGUGUAGCGGUGAAAUGCUUAGAUAUGGCACAGAACACCAAUUGCGAAGGCAGCUCACUAAGGCGAUACUGACGCCGAGGCACGAAAGCGUGGGGAUCGAACAGGAUUAGAUACCCCUGUAGUCC